AGAGUUUGAUCAUGGCUCAGAUUGAACGCUGGCGGCAUGCCUUACACAUGCAAGUCGAACGGCAGCACGGGGGUAACCCUGGUGGCGAGUGGCGAACGGGUGAGUAAUACAUCGGAACGUGUCCUGGAGUGGGGGAUAGCUCGGCGAAAGCCGGAUUAAUACCGCAUACGCUCUGUGGAGGAAAGCGGGGGAUCUUCGGACCUCGCGCUCAAGGGGCGGCCGAUGGCGGAUUAGCUAGUUGGUGGGGUAAAGGCCUACCAAGGCGACGAUCCGUAGCUGGUCUGAGAGGACGACCAGCCACACUGGGACUGAGACACGGCCCAGACUCCUACGGGAGGCAGCAGUGGGGAAUUUUGGACAAUGGGGGAAACCCUGAUCCAGCAAUGCCGCGUGUGUGAAGAAGGCCUUCGGGUUGUAAAGCACUUUUGUUCGGGAAGAAAUCCUUCGAGCUAAUACCUUGAGGGGAUGACGGUACCGGAAGAAUAAGCACCGGCUAACUACGUGCCAGCAGCCGCGGUAAUACGUAGGGUGCGAGCGUUAAUCGGAAUUACUGGGCGUAAAGCGUGCGCAGGCGGUUCGCUAAGACCGAUGUGAAAUCCCCGGGCUUAACCUGGGAACUGCAUUGGUGACUGGCGGGCUAGAGUAUGGCAGAGGGGGGUAGAAUUCCACGUAGCAGUGAAAUGCGUAGAGAUGUGGAGGAAUACCGAUGGCGAAGGCAGCCCCCUGGGCCAAUACUGACGCUCAUGCACGAAAGCGUGGGGAGCAAACAGGAUUAGAUACCCUAGUAGUCC
RNAcentral lists this ribosomal RNA (791 nucleotides) under uncultured bacterium. RNAcentral's name for it is "bacterial SSU rRNA". It matches the Rfam family "Bacterial small subunit ribosomal RNA", at positions 8 to 796 of the family's 1533-position model. The record is from RNAcentral.